AUGAAAAUACUGUUUCAAUAAAUUACAAAACAAACAGGAUUAUGGAAAAUAAAUAUAAUAUCUACUGAAUAUACCUUGUGUGAUAAACAAUAAUUAUUAUCUGAUGUAAUAGUUUGUUUAGUUAACGUUUUCUGUAACGUUUAACAUACAAAACAUCACUGAGUAGAAACAUGUAUUAAUCAUUGGGUUUUGAUUUUUACAAAGGAUCAAAGCAAACCGUUACUGGUUGUCAAAGUAUAUUGUUUGUAAUAUUAAUAGAUUUAUUAUAGGAAAUAUUAUUUAGUGACCAAUAGAUUUUAUGAGACUUAAGAAAGCUUGUUGGUAAAGUAUGGGACGAGAUUGUAAAUAUUAUUUCCAUUAACCCUGGAACUGGUAAUACACUUAAUUAUUUUAACAGUAUCAGCUCGCUAAAACACACGCUCACAACAACAGAAAAAUAAACAAACACUACUAGUAAAUAAAGUAACAACAGCUGUUUGGUAGACUAAUGUUAGCGCAGUGAACUAGCUGAGUCAACAAAGCACAGGCUCAUCGCAGUGUAGACAUGCAACAGGAUAUUAAAAUGUUCAGAAAGUGUAUUAUUUAUACAUUGAAUGUUCUUCUCUCAAUUCGUAUCAGUACAGAUACUUUUUGAAUAUAUUUGAAAGAAAUUAUAAAAAAAAAUAUAAGCAAUGUUAAAAAAUAUUAUAUCAGAUAUUUACCAGUUGCAGGGUUAAAACACUCACAAGAAGUUUGUUCUAGAAUUGGAGUUAAUUUUUAAUUUUAAUUUAAAAAAUAUGUUUAGCUGAUCAAAACAAAAAAAACCUUAUGAUGUGUAAUUCAAUGGUCAACAUUUUAGAAUAAUAAAGCCAAAUUAUAUAAUUGUAGAUCCCAUACUGAUGUUUUCUAAAAUAUAGUUUGAUUUACAACAAGUAAAUAUUUCUUCACAGUAAAUUUUACUUAAUAUUUUUGAUCAUUUAAAUCAAGCGUGAUUAGACCAAAAUUGGCUAUAUUUAUUGGAUAUUUGAUAAUUGAGUGAGAUGAAUAAAUUACAUUUAACUAACAAAACAGAUUUGAAUUUAUUUUUUCACAAUUGCUAAAUCAGCGGAUAAAAAAUAAAUCUAUAUACUUUGAAUUUCUAUUCGAACAGCCACACAAUGAACAUGGUGGAAGUUUCUGUGACAUGCUGCUCUUAUAAAGAUAGUUAUUUUUGCUUUUUAUUUUUUACAUUCUAUCUCAACAGUUUUACUCAGCUUCAAACAGAAAACUUAUAAUUAUAAAUUGAGCAUUUCUGCAUGCAUAAUAGGCCUAUUAAGUACACUCUUUACGAAGUCAAUUUUAUACCAAGAUAGUAAAGGUUUGCUUAGAAAUAAGUAUUGUUUACCAUGAAUUGUGCAAUAUUUUAGCUUAAUAACAAUUACUUAGUGUUAUUGUAUAUAAUGUGUACAUAAAAUGAUGGCUUAGUGUAAAUAAUGAUUUUUCAUUUUAUGUUUUGGUUCUUGCCCCACAACCUAAUAUCACAUUCCAUUGAAACAUCACUGUUAACUGUAAUAAAAAAGCACAAUGUCGCCAUCCAUAUCAGUGAUUAAAAGUGAAGUUUUUUUUAUUUUUUCUCUUAAUUGAUUGGCUUUUUAGUGACUUUUUAUUAUUGAAGUAUAAUAAGAAAACCUGUAUUGUGUAUAUUACAUAAAUAGUUGAUUGCGUUUAUACAUAUUUUUUCCUCAAUUUCAAGAUAAAUAAAUGCUUAUUUAUCGUUUAGAAAUUUAACUAGUAAUAAAUUAUAGUCAAACCAGAAGCAGAAAUUAUAUAUUAAGGAAACAAAGAUUCUAAAAAGAAGUUGAUUAUGCUUUGUUUGAUUUUUAGAAUUUGAACCAAAUGUAUUGUGUAUAUACUAAAAUAAAUUUAUGCCAAAAAAAAAACUUUUAACUUCAUGUGACAGUUAUAAGUUAUAUGUUUUACUUUUUUCAGACCAGUCUGGAAAUUUGUUCAUGCUGUUCUGUAUAAUACGAGGCAUGUUUUUUAAGUAGUUACAGUCUUGAUAUAAAAAAAAUCAUGUAAACUUUUUUUAACUAUUUUUUUUUAUAUAAAAGUCUUUUAUCUCAUUAGUGAUUUUAUCUCUUAAAUCUACUUUUAUUUAUAAUUGUCAUCAAUAUUAAGGCACUUAUCAUAUCUAAAAACAACCUUUUGUAUACUGUUGUUAUAGAAGAUUGCCACUUGAUUUAAUGGUGACUGCAAUGUGAUCAUUUUGAUAUUAUUGUAGUCGGGCCAGUGGAUCUUCUGAUUAAAGAACAAAUUGUAGUCACUGAGCGCUAAAGUGGGGCUGCUAGGGGGAUUAUUGAAUUGUCCCCAGCAAAGUGGUGUGGUGUGACCUCGCUUUUGUUUUACCCCAUGUGGACAACAUCGUCAUACAGAAAAACAUGUUUCUCGAUAUUUUAAACAUUCACUAAAAAUGUCAUACAGAAUACUUUUUGAAACUUGAGGAAACUUCUGAUAACAAUGAAAUUGUGAAAUGUCUGUUUGUUUUCUCUUUAUAUCAUUCACUUUCUGCACCAAAUCAUUAGUGAUAAUUGUCCACUCUUGAACAUUCUUUUGCCAUCUAUCAAAACUCUUACCCAUUUGAAUGUCAUUCCAUCACUAUUAAUACUUUCUCCAUACACUUCACAAUUCUACCAGUGAAUUUCAACUGCUUUCACACCUUAAGCACCAAGAAAAAAAAUAGCGGCACGUACUUCACAGUCUGCGGGAUUCUUAAUUAACAAGGGCAUUUGAAGUAUGCAUUAACAGAUGUAGAAACAAUAGAUUUUUGCCUAAUUGCAUCUAUGGUUUUCUAACAGAGAGUGUAACUGCAGGACAUCCACCGCAAUGCUGCAGAGGCGGAAAUUAAAAACGGUACUCACUUAAAAACAUGCCUCGCAUAAAGUUUUUGAGAAAUCAAAAGUUUUCGCUAAUUUAAUUUGAACUAAGUUGUGACUUUAUAAAUUUGACUACUACUUAAAUUUUUCUGGGAUUAUAGGAAGUAAUUAUAUUAAAUUGUGUUGUCAACUGUUUAGCCUUUAUAGAAGAUAGUUUUAUUGAUUUACUUUCACAUUUGAUAUCUGUGACUCAAAAAGUGGUACAUACAACUUAAAUGUCUUAUACUGUAAGAAUGUUAGUUUCCAGUUAGCCUAUAUAAUGUAACUACAGUAUUUAAAACUUGUGAACUGGUUUCCAAGUUUACAGGUUACCUUUUCUGCAGUUGCUUGUGCUGAUUUGCAAUUUCCGAAUUAGCAACACUGGUAUUUGAUAUUAACAGUACAUUCCUGUUAAUCUGUCCUCCAAUAAUCCAGCUUGCUGUUAAUCAAAAACUUGUAACAGGGUAUUCACCACAUGUUCAAAAUACUGGAAUUAGUGAUGAAUGGGUAAAUUAAUAUUUGAAGAAAUAUCGAGAACAAUUGAAGGAAUUUUGUGGAAGUAUAAAUUUAUAUAAAACUCAUGAAAGAAUGAGUUAUCUUGUUAUAAGUAAGUAUCUUCACAAGAAAAGUCAUAGUUUUGCAUUAUUACUAUGAAAUCUUCUACCGUAAUGAAUUAAAGGAACUUAAUUCGGAGCAAUGGUUAAAUGAAGUUACAGAAAGCAGAUUGUACCAUGCUUGAUAGCAUUCAUUAUACAUUCAUCUCUUCAUAUCUUUGCUUGCACUCCACAUCUUUUUGCCUAAGUUUUGGCUUCCAUUUUAAAUAUCACUCUAGUAGCUUGGGUGUUUUAAUUUUCCACCCAACACAAUAUGAGAAAAAACAAUUAAUUAGUUGAUGUAUUUCUAUUAAUUUUUGAAAACGUUAUAAAAAUAAGUUAUAUUUAACUACAGUAAUUGUGAGAUGCAGUGGUUAUUAGUUAGAGGAUUUAUUAAGCAAGAAUAACCAGCUCAUUUGGUAGCUGACUGAGAGGUUUGUCAUUCUUUAUUGUGGAAAACAUUAACCUACUGUUUUAUUUCUAAAGUAAAAAAAUUAUGUACCAUUUUUCUUUACGGUAAAAUGUUAUUGAAACUUUAAGUAGAGCUCCAUUUCUUGGGGGAGUAUGAUAGACGGAGGGGACAGUAUGAUUUUUGGGUUGCUUUUUAUUGAAGCCUGUUGCUCCAAGAACAAACGUUUAAUAGAUGUUUCUUUAUAAGAAAAUGUAUUAUUUCUACCCUCAGAAUAUACUUUGGAAAGAUUUAACAUAAAUACAGAAGGAUGUUUUAUAUACAUUUGAAAUACAAAUUUUCUCCAUCCCAACUAUUUUUGUCUCGUACGUUAAAUAACUUUUCCCUAAUUAAGUGAAUUUUGUUUACAUGUUAAUCUUUCAUCAAUUUACAACUCGAAGAGAAAUUCAAGUUCUUUUAAGUAAUUCAUUUUAAAAUUUUUACCAGUAGCCUACCAAUGAAUCAACUAAAUUGUUGCUUUUAAUGUUCUUACUUUGUUCUGAAUUGUUUGAUAUACAAGCUUGUUAAUAAUAAUACAAUCUAAAAUAAGGAAUUUAGAGUGGGUUUUGUCUGAAAGUUUAGUGACAGGAAACUGACUUAAAUAUGUGUUCAGUUUAUUGUUUACCCACAUAUAUUUAAAAUGUAUGUUGACUGUUUUGUAAAAUUAUAUAUCUAUCAUUAACUGUAAAUUUAAAUACUGUAUGUUUAUUUGAAUAUGUUGUUUCAAACAGAAACUGCUUUAUUUUGUUAGAAUGUAAAAGAAACUGUUAAAAAUUAACUGUAAUAUUAUUAUUAAUAAUAAUAAUAUGUAUACAACGUUUCAAUAGAAGUUUUCAUCUUGGCUUGUUGGUUAUAAGUAUGUGGAAUGUUAAGUCUAGCUCCAGUUCACAUUGAGUGAACCCCUCCCACCAUAUGACACUGAAUAUGGUACAUUUCUAUGAAAAUAUGUUUAUUUUAAAUAUGUUAAUUUAAUUUUUUCAGUGGUCAAGGUUAAAAUACGAAAUUAUGUGAACACAAAUAGUUUAAUUUGUGCUUUAAAGGAUAGUGGGAGGGACCAUACAAUAUUUGAGAUUGAAUAUUGUGUACUUUGAUUAUGAAUGCUUUGAGUACCUAAAGAAUGAAAAUUUUAAAUAAAGGAGAAUUAUACUAAUUCUUACAUUAUGUAAUAUAUAAUUCGUUUGAAGUUAAUUUGGUCAGUAGGGUUGUAAUAUAGUACCAUUAGUUAAACCAAUUUUAGCUAUUUUCGCUCUGUGGAUAAGAGAAAAAGAUGUGUAGCAUUAGAUUUAAUUAGUUUAGGUUUGCAUGCUUUAUAGUGUUUGGACAGUUUUGGAUUUGAACCUAAUAUAUUCUGGAUAAUUGUGUUGUAGUCGGUUGUUUCGAAUAAAAUUUAAUUUUCGUGUUUAAUGAAGUCCAAAUAAGAAAUAAUAUUAUCAGUACAUUUUUUCAAAGAAUUACUUUUUAAAUUAAUUAAUUUAGCAAUGAUUUAUUAUUAUGCCAAUUUUUAUAUCAACUGUAUCAGUGUUUCGUUUUCUUGUACAUAAUUAACUAAAAGUUCAGGUAUAAAAAACCAUAUUUUCUUGAGCACUUCCAAAUCUAUUUGGUAUGGUCUUACGUGUCAGUUAAAUGAGUGAUUAGAAGUUUUGUUCAGUUUUUUUUUUUUUAUAAAUUGUGGCUCUAUGUAGUGUUCAAAAUGAAAGUGAUCUCUUGAAGUUUUAAUUUGCUACUUUAAAAUUCAAGUGUUAAAACCCACAUUUUCUUGAGCACUAAAGUAUGUUUCAUAUGUCUUAGGCGUCAAUUUAACAACUGUGAAGUGUGUGGUUUAGAAGUUCUUAUUUAGAAAAUUAGUUAUAUACGUUUUUCAUACAAUUUUAAAUUGUAACUCAAAGCCAAGCUGAUCUCUUGGGUUUUAAUUAAAGUAAGUAAGAUAGUGCCAAAGCAUUAAUGUUCAGCUUGUGAUGCCAUACUUGCAUCACACUAAUAUAUAUUUCCUAUAGGAUACUUAAAACGCUUAUAAUUAUUACUACUAUGAUAAAUGUGUCGCCAUUGAUUUGGUCAGAAACUAACGCACAAAAUAGGGAGAAGCCUACUUGACUUCUUAAGCUAAAGAAUCUUCAAUUAUUUAGUUAAAAAUAAUUAUGUUGAAAUGGUGUGAUUCUAUGAAUGUAUAUAAACAAAACUCUCUAUAUGAAUUAUUGUUAACAGUAUAUUAAAUAUAUAUUAUAUAAAUAUAUAGAUGUUUUUAUGGUCGGUACUUAGAAGUUUUAGACAUGCACAGCAAGUUACCCUGAGUGCAUGUGCCAUAUUUUUCACUUUUAAUAUUCUAUAGAGUGUUCGUUGUGCGAACGAUUUUGUUUUCAUUAUUUUGUUACAGUUAUUUAUUGUUUUUUUUUUUUGUUGUUGAAAUGAAGCAAUUAUAGUGAUUUUUCCUUUUUGUUUUUGUGUUGACAACACAAUUGUUGUGGAUUAGAUUUAAAAGACACUAUAACAUAUUUUGUAUAUAAGAGUAGGUGUCGAUCUUAUAGAGUUUAUAGGUGUUUCAGACUUUUUACACAAUCUUCUGAACUUUUCAUUGAAUUGUAUUUGUUGUCUGUAUUUGUAAUGUGAAAUCAUUUUUAUUAUCAAUGUUUUUUACUUAACACAAUACAAUAAAUGAAAUUAUAGAAAGUUG
Long non-coding RNA from Homalodisca vitripennis (glassy-winged sharpshooter), 6579 nucleotides. RefSeq lists it as uncharacterized. The transcript is spliced from 2 exons. Lineage: Eukaryota; Metazoa; Arthropoda; Insecta; Hemiptera; Cicadellidae. The record is from RefSeq and is a predicted model, not a curated record.